ACGUAGGGUGCAAGCGUUAUCCGGAAUUAUUGGGCGUAAAGAGCUCGUAGGCGGUUUGUCGCGUCUGUCGUGAAAGUCCGGGGCUCAACUCCGGACCUGCGAUGGAUACUGGUAGACUAGAGUGUAGUAAGGGUGACUGGAAUGCCUGGUGUAGCGGUGGAAUGCGUAGAUAUCAGGCGGAACACCGAUGGCGAAGGCAGGUUUCUGGGCUAUAACUGACGCUGAUGCGCGAAAGCAUGGGGAGCGAACAG
RNAcentral lists this ribosomal RNA (251 nucleotides) under uncultured prokaryote. RNAcentral describes it as "partial 16S rRNA". It matches the Rfam family "Bacterial small subunit ribosomal RNA", at positions 525 to 775 of the family's 1533-position model. The record is from RNAcentral.